AAUCAAAAGCACUGUCAUUUGCCCAAAAAGCAUGUCCGUUUGUCAAAAGCAAAUCAUGGGUCCCCUGCUAAACGGCAAGAUCAUUCAAGAUAAAGAAUCAAAACGUUAGCCCACAAACAAUCCUUGACAUUAUUGCAAAAUUUUCCAAAACCUUCUGUAUAAAAUCUCACUCUCAUCUGACAUUCCCUGACCGUCUUUUCUUCCUUCCUUCCUUCCUUCUUUCUUUCAAGGUUGAGGAAAUGAACCCAUCCAGCAAUUUCAGCUACUUCGCUUCCUCCACCGCAACAGUCACUUACUCUUUCCAUAAUGACCAUACUACCCCUACAAAAACCAUUGAAAUCCCCAUCAAGCCCUCCUCCCCCAAAUCCACCACCCAAUCAAGCACUGCCACUUCUGCUGCCACCAAGAUCCAAUCUUGCUACAGGACACAUAUGAUCCGAACCCUUUACAAGAAAAUCUCAGCUGUUAGUUCUGAAGCUGAUCAGUUACAAAACCAAAUCCAACGCCAGGAAACAGUGGAUGCAAUAAGAAGUAGCGAGAAAGAAAAGCUGGGGAUGAAUGAGGCCUUGAUGGGCUUGCUUCUGAGGCUCGAUUCAGUACCGGGGGUUGAUCCAACGGUGAGAGAAGCAAGAAGGAAAGUCAGCCGUAGGAUUGUGGGGUUGCAGGAAAUAUUGGACUCAAUAUGUGAAGCAAAAGUUGGUGCUGAUGGUGGUGACUAUUUUGGGUGGCAGUGGGACCCUUAUGGUGGAUGGGAUAUGGUGUUGGAGGAGAUGGAGGAGGAGAUUUGUAUGGAGAGAGGUGGUGAAGAAAUGGAGAAGUUUUGUGCUCAAUAUCUUGGGUUUAGAUGCUUGCAGAGGUUUUUGAAAGAACCAUGAAAGAAAGAUUGGAACUUUUGAUCCUUUUGUGCCUAAAGAUCAAAACUUUUAGUUGUACAAAACCGGAAAUGCAAGAAAGCUGACCGGAGAAUAGCUCCUGCUUCUGCCGGAGAAAUAUCAACAUUCAACACAAAUUGUCAUGGCAGCAAGUAUAAAGCCUGUUGUAAUUUCCCGGUUCCUCAUAUUUACAGCAACAACAAAGUGACUCCGUUGCCAAAAGCUU
RNA transcript from Populus trichocarpa (black cottonwood), 1098 nucleotides. It is a transcript of the gene named BAG family molecular chaperone regulator 5, mitochondrial, with no coding region annotated. The transcript is spliced from 2 exons. The record is from RefSeq and is a predicted model, not a curated record. NCBI's taxonomy places the organism in Eukaryota, Viridiplantae, Streptophyta, Magnoliopsida, Malpighiales, Salicaceae.